CCUACGGGCGACAGCAGUGAGGAAUAUUGGUCAAUGGACGAGAGUCUGAACCAGCCAAGUAGCGUGAAGGAUGACUGCCCUAUGGGUUGUAAACUUCUUUUAUAUGGGAAUAAAAUGUUCCACGUGUGGGAUUUUGUAUGUACCAUAUGAAUAAGGAUCGGCUAACUCCGUGCCAGCAGCCGCGGUAAUACGGAGGAUCCGAGCGUUAUCCGGAUUUAUUGGGUUUAAAGGGAGCGUAGGUGGAUUGUUAAGUCAGUUGUGAAAGUUUGCGGCUCAACCGUAAAAUUGCAGUUGAAACUGGCAGGCUUGAGUACAGUAGAGGUGGGCGGAAUUCGUGGUGUAGCGGUGAAAUGCUUAGAUAUCACGAAGAACUCCGAUUGCGAAGGCAGCUCACUGGACUGCAACUGACACUGAGGCUCGAAAGUGUGGGUAUCAAACAGGAUUAGAUACCCCAGUAGUC
This 460-nucleotide ribosomal RNA is filed under the name uncultured bacterium. Its description in RNAcentral is "partial 16S ribosomal RNA". It matches the Rfam family "Bacterial small subunit ribosomal RNA", at positions 338 to 795 of the family's 1533-position model. The record is from RNAcentral.